Molecule: ribosomal RNA, 468 nt
Filed under: uncultured bacterium
Lineage: Bacteria
Description: partial 16S ribosomal RNA
Rfam family: Bacterial small subunit ribosomal RNA
Source: RNAcentral
GACGAACGCUGGCGGCGUGCUUAACACAUGCAAGUCGAACGGAAAGGCCCUGCUUGUGUGGGGUGCUUGAGUGGCGAACGGGUGAGUAACACGUGAGUAACCUGCCCUUGACUUUGGGAUAACUUCAGGAAACUGGGGCUAAUACCGGAUAGGAGCUCCUGCUGCAUGGUGGGGGUUGGAAAGUUUCGGCGGUUGGGGAUGGACUCGCGGCUUAUCAGCUUGUUGGUGGGGGAGUGGCUUACCAAGUCUUUGACGGGUCGCCCGCCUGAGAGGGUGACCGGCGUCAUGGGUACUGCGGUACGGCGCAGACUCCUACGGGAGGCAGCAGUGGGGAAUAUUGCCCAAUGGGCCGAAGCCUGAUGCAGAAACGCCGCGUGCGGGAUGACGGCCUUCGGGUUAUAAACCGCUUUCGCCUGUUACGAAGCGUGAGUGACGGUACUGGGUAAAGAAGCACCGGCUAACUACGUG